GUGGGGAAUAUUGGACAAUGGGCGCAAGCCUGAUCCAGCCAUGCCGCGUGGGUGAUGAAGGCCUUAGGGUUGUAAAGCCCUUUCGGCGGGGAAGAUAAUGACGGUACCCGCAGAAGAAGCCCCGGCUAACUUCGUGCCAGCAGCCGCGGUAAUACGAAGGGGGCUAGCGUUGCUCGGAAUCACUGGGCGUAAAGCGCACGUAGGCGGACUCUUAAGUCGGUGGUGAAAUCCUGGAGCUCAACUCCAGAACUGCCUUCGAUACUGGGAGUCUUCGAGUCCGGGAGAGGUGAGUGGAACUGCGAGUGUAGAGGUGAAAUUCGUAGAUAUUCGCAAGAACACCAGUGGCGAAGGCGGCUCACUGGCCCGGUACUGACGCUGAGGUGCGAAAGCGUGGGGAGCAAACAGGAUUAGAUACCCUUGUAGUCC
RNAcentral lists this ribosomal RNA (426 nucleotides) under uncultured bacterium. RNAcentral describes it as "bacterial SSU rRNA". It matches the Rfam family "Bacterial small subunit ribosomal RNA", at positions 354 to 796 of the family's 1533-position model. The record is from RNAcentral.